Non-coding RNA from Paramuricea clavata, 1072 nucleotides. Lineage: Eukaryota; Metazoa; Cnidaria; Anthozoa; Malacalcyonacea; Plexauridae. The record is from the annotation of a GenBank genome assembly.
CCGAAAUAUCACUUACUCGAACUGUCCUGACCGCGUAGCUCAGUUGGCAGAGCAUUGGGCUAGUAUUCCAAAGGUCGUAGGUUCGAUUCCCACCGUGGCCGGGCAUAUUUUUCAAGCUCGCCCGGUGUGGAUAUACACUCAGAGUAACAUCACAAGCAUCAUAUUAUUCAUAGGAUUCAAACAGCCAAUCAAUUUUAAGAAAUAUGUGAUAUGGCAAACGAGAAAAAACAAAAAAUUUACAUGUCAUGAAUGAUUUAAAAUUAAGCAUUUUUUGCGCAUAAAAACAACAAAUAUGGAUAGCUACAGAACACCGCGGGAACACGCCUGCGCAUGCGUGGGGCACAAAAAAGAUGGCGAGGAAUUUUAAUGCCAAAUUGUAAACAAAAGCAUGGCUAUUUAGUGAUUUACGGUAUUUGAAACAAACAAAAAAUACACUAGACGGGCAGCAGUUUAUAGACAUGAAUAAAAAGUUAGUUCAUCAUUUUUUAAAUUUUAAAUCACGCGUUUGAUUUCAGUCCAAUUUGCACUCCACUCAGUUCAAUUACCAUUAUUAAUUAUGGCGUCUGCUGUUCGUGCUUCACAUCAAGAAUGACAGUCAAUGCGGAUUUACGUUCGUGAUUUCAAACAAGAUCGAUUGAACGACUUUCUUUUUUUUUAAAGAACGGCUGUCGCCAUCUCACUUUACUUCCGGUCGACCUUCGUGAAUACGCUUGUUAAUCUAUAGUAAAGGCGGUUUUCCACUGGGCGAAAUAUUUCGACCGAAUCGAAAUUUUCUUUUGUCUUACAACCAAUCAGAUGGAACUAAACAGAAAUCUUUUGAAUUUGAACAAUAGAAAUUUCGGUUCGAUCGAAAAAUCCCAUCUAGUGGAAAACCACCUUGAUGCAUUAUCAACCACGCGUACCCAGGAUUUUCCCUCUACGCUGCUACCAUACAAGGUUGACAUUAUUUCUUUUUUUAUUUUUAGCGCUUGGUGGUGACACAAAACCUGUUGACACUUCUGUUAGUGACACAAAGACACAAAUAGGAUUCACGCUGCCAAGCAUAGGUCCUGAAGAAAUAAGACAAAUUAUG